Molecule: ribosomal RNA, 197 nt
Filed under: uncultured bacterium
Lineage: Bacteria
Description: partial 16S ribosomal RNA
Rfam family: Bacterial small subunit ribosomal RNA
Source: RNAcentral
ACGCUCAACACCUACGGGGGCAGCAGUGGGGAAUAUUGCACAAUGGGGGAAACCCUGAUGCAGCGACGCCGCGUGAAGGAAGAAGUAUCUCGGUAUGUAAACUUCUAUCAGCAGGGAAGAAAAUGACGGUACCUGACUAAGAAGCCCCGGCUAACUACGUGCCAGCAGCCGCGGUAAUCUGAGCGGGCUGGCAAGGC